Oryzias melastigma (Indian medaka) is the source of this 1249-nucleotide long non-coding RNA. RefSeq lists it as uncharacterized. The transcript is spliced from 2 exons. NCBI's taxonomy places the organism in Eukaryota, Metazoa, Chordata, Actinopteri, Beloniformes, Adrianichthyidae. The record is from RefSeq and is a predicted model, not a curated record.
ACUCAUUGUGCCAGUGACAUUCCGAAAUGCUCCAGAAACUUUUUAUCUGCAGAAGAAACUUCCAUCCUCAGAAAGGAAGUAUCGUUUAAACAGAGCUCAGAAGAAUCUCGGUGUCCUGGAGAACCAGACUCCAUACUAACCGGAACAGGGUUCUGUGGUCAAACCAUAUAAUAUAUAAUUAGACGCAUCAUCUCUGACGUCACCCAUUGACUUCCACAGUCCCUGAAAUGAAGCCUGAAUAUUCAGCUCAUGGCCGCAGCCAUAUUGGCUGGAGUUAACUCCGCCUCACACGGACGUUCCAAAUAUGGGAAAAAGGGGCGGGACCGAGUUCACCCGCUUUUCCUCCGGUUUGUUUUAGUUCACGCCCACAGCUCUGCCGUCUGCGGCUCCUCAUGCUAACGGCUAACCGCUUCAACUCUCCAGCAAAGCUGCACCGCGGUGGAUUAUUUACAUCAUGAAUCUGUACAGUUUGGAUUAAUGGUGACGUAAUUUCCAUUUGGCACCAGAAGGACCAUUCAACAAAACCACCACAGCGACGUGAGCUCAGCGUGGACCCACAUCACCUGGUUCAGCUGAGGCAGACGAUGGUGGACAUCUUUUAUUUUUAAUUCUACAAGGAAAAGCAGCUCCUGGUUCUCUCAUCACUGUGGAGGACGUGAACAGGCGGCGUCUGGAGUCUGGAGCUGUCAUGGGGAUCGGAGAGAACGUCCAGCAGCUGCACACUCUUCAACCCAGCACUAAACUUUAUUUUUCUUUAAUUUCUUACUGAUUUUAUUUUCAGUAGAUAGAAAUGUACUCUUUAGGAUCAUUUAUUAGGUUCUUUAAAUGUAUAAAAACAGACGGUAUUAUCAUAGAUGAUGCUUUCUAACCAUGACAUGUGUAAAGAGGUCCGUACCUUGAAUAAAGGAAAACUAAUUCUGAAUGUUCAAUGAUGAAUGUUUGUUAUGUUUUGAAUCAUUUCAUCUGCUUCAAAAAUAAAUUUUGUACAGAUCUGACUUUGACCCACAUUUCCUUUUGUCUUACCUAUAUGCUAAACAGUGAAUACACAGAAGAGACUGGUCACUCAAAUAUGUUAAACAUGAUUUUUAUUGAAUCACACAUCAGCAAGAGUCAAAUUCAUAUGUUAAAAUUAGAAUUUUACUGCCUUUAAAUGUAAAUGCUGGAUUGUUUUGGAUUAUAAAACCGCUCACCACCAGAAGCAGACCAGAAGAGGAACAUACAAGACAAACAUUAGAUACAAUUUAAAAAA